RNAcentral lists this non-coding RNA (45 nucleotides) under Schistosoma mansoni. The record is from RNAcentral. Lineage: Eukaryota; Metazoa; Platyhelminthes; Trematoda; Strigeidida; Schistosomatidae.
AUCCAGCUGACGAGUCCCAAAUAGAAAGAAAUGUGCAUUUUGGAU